GCCUGGUUUGCACAGAGGUGCCAGGCCCUCAGCGCCCUCAUACGCCUCACCUCCAUCACCCCCUGCAGGGAGCUGCUUGACAUACAGGAGAAGGUCUGUCAGCUUGGAGUGGUGACAGCGCCCCGCAGCAGCCAUGCGUUGGGUCUGCUAGGAGUGACCCAGCUGGCCCAGUACGACAGCGAGCCACAGUCCGAACGGGGCCAGGUGGCCUUGGCUGAUGCCUGUCUAAGCUUCCAGGCCAGUAUUGAGUUGGAGGGGUCCUCACAGACUGGAGAUGCCCCUGAGAAGCUAGCAAAGCAGCCGUGGUGGCAGGAGCGUCUGGCUCAGAAGGCGGGGGCUGCCAAGCAGACAGCCAGCAAAUCCACAGGGGCGCCGGGGCCAUCUGAGGCAGGGGCUGCUGGGAAGGGGACCGGGCGUGGGAGGGGAACCCCGGGCAGAGGGGGGGCCGUGGCAGCCGCUGCCAAGUCAGGUGCCGCGUCCCGAGGCGGUAAAGCUGUACCCACUGCCAAACCGGCACCGCCAGCAGCCAGAGGACGGGCUGCAGGGACUCCUCCAGCAAAGGCUGAUGGGGCAGCAAAGGCUCCAGGCAAACCCUCCUCUAAGACCCAGCUCUCUCCCAGCAAGUCCAAACAGGAGUGCAGCGGCCCUCUGGCUAAACCACAGGUGGAUGAGGCUCCAUCAUCAAACACCAGGAUUGCUGGCGUCAUUAACCCUAAAAGCCAUGCACCUCGUCUGGGGCUGGCCAGAGCUCUCACCCGGUCUGCAGAGACCCACCAGGAAGCUUGCAGCCUGUACCAGGAGGUCAUCUCCAUGGCACCAGAGGU
Clupea harengus (Atlantic herring) is the source of this 824-nucleotide long non-coding RNA. The record is from Ensembl. Lineage: Eukaryota; Metazoa; Chordata; Actinopteri; Clupeiformes; Clupeidae.